Molecule: ribosomal RNA, 293 nt
Filed under: uncultured bacterium
Lineage: Bacteria
Description: partial 16S ribosomal RNA
Rfam family: Bacterial small subunit ribosomal RNA
Source: RNAcentral
GUGCCAGCAGCCGCGGUAAUACGGAGGGUGCAAGCGUUAUCCGGAUUCACUGGGUUUAAAGGGUGCGUAGGCGGGUGUGUAAGUCAGUGGUGAAAUCCCAAAGCUUAACUUUGGAACUGCCGUUGAUACUAUACAUCUUGAAUGCCCGGGAGGUGAGCGGAAUAUGUCAUGUAGCGGUGAAAUGCUUAGAUAUGACAUAGAACACCGAUUGCGAAGGCAGCUCACUACAGGGGUUAUUGACGCUGAGGCACGAAAGCGUGGGGAUCAAACAGGAUUAGAUACCCUGGUAGUCC